GGGGAUUUAGCUCAGCGGCAUAAGCACCUGCCUUGGAAGCAGGCGGUCAUGAAUUUGAUCCCCA
Molecule: transfer RNA, 64 nt
Filed under: Cavia porcellus (domestic guinea pig)
Lineage: Eukaryota; Metazoa; Chordata; Mammalia; Rodentia; Caviidae
Rfam family: tRNA
About the family: Transfer RNA (tRNA) molecules are approximately 80 nucleotides in length. Their secondary structure includes four short double-helical elements and three loops (D, anti-codon, and T loops). Further hydrogen bonds mediate the characteristic L-shaped molecular structure. tRNAs have two regions of fundamental functional importance: the anti-codon, which is responsible for specific mRNA codon recognition, and the 3' end, to which the tRNAs corresponding amino acid is attached (by aminoacyl-tRNA synthetases). tRNAs cope with the degeneracy of the genetic code in two manners: having more than one tRNA (with a specific anti-codon) for a particular amino acid; and 'wobble' base-pairing, i.e. permitting non-standard base-pairing at the 3rd anti-codon position.
Source: Rfam by way of RNAcentral